This 254-nucleotide unclassified non-coding RNA is filed under the name Hevea brasiliensis (rubber tree). Lineage: Eukaryota; Viridiplantae; Streptophyta; Magnoliopsida; Malpighiales; Euphorbiaceae. The record is from RNAcentral.
AACAAAGAAACUGUAGUUCAAGUACAAGACCAAUGCAGAAAAUAUCACAAAGUUCUGCAGUUGCAAGACCAAUGCAAAUAGAAACACAAAGCGACAGUGAUAUGAAGAAGAAAUUUGAAUCAAGCAAGAGGAAGUUCGAGCAAAGGUUAGCAGAUCAAAGGGAAGCCAAGAGAAGGAUUAUAACGAUAGACUUUCAUCAAACGCCUAAACUUCUUAUGACCCUCCUUCUUCCAAGCAUUGUUGGACUAGGAAAA